This 202-nucleotide long non-coding RNA is filed under the name Spirodela polyrhiza (greater duckweed). RNAcentral's name for it is "long non-coding RNA (SPOL_LNC000613)". The record is from RNAcentral. Lineage: Eukaryota; Viridiplantae; Streptophyta; Magnoliopsida; Alismatales; Araceae.
GAGGGAUGCUGAAAGAGGGUAGACGGAGCUGUAAAUUUCUCUAGACUACCCAUCCGCAGAGCAUACAGGAAGCAAACACCCAACUUUACCUGAUGAAGCCCCUCAGCUAAUUUGUCAGCUUCCGCAAACUGAGGCCUUCCAACUGGCAAGACCGGAGCCCUUUGCUGUAGGACAAUGUUCUAUGGUCCCCAUUAAUUCCUUC